GACGAACGCUGGCGGCGUGCUUAACACAUGCAAGUCGAACGGUGAAGCGCCUUCCUUUUUGGUGGGUGUGGAUGAGUGGCGCACGGGUGAGUAACACGUGAGUAACCUGCCCCCUUCUUCUGGAUAACCGCAUGAAAGUGUGGCUAAUACGGGAUAUUCUGGGUCUGUCGCAUGAUGGGUCUGGGAAAGAUAUUGUUUCGGUGGGGGAUGGGCUCGCGGCCUAUCAGCUUGUUGGUGGGGUGAUGGCCUACCAAGGCGGUGACGGGUAGCCGGCCUGAGAGGGUGGACGGUCACACUGGGACUGAGACACGGCCCAGACUCCUACGGGAGGCAGCAGUGGGGAAUAUUGCACAAUGGGCGCAAGCCUGAUGCAGCGACGCCGCGUGAGGGAUGGAGGCCUUCGGGUUGUGAACCUCUUUCGCAAGUGAAGCAGGCCUGCCUCGUUUGUGGGUGGGUUGACGGUAGCUGGAUAAGAAGCGCCGGCUAACUACGUG
RNAcentral lists this ribosomal RNA (494 nucleotides) under uncultured bacterium. RNAcentral's name for it is "partial 16S ribosomal RNA". It matches the Rfam family "Bacterial small subunit ribosomal RNA", at positions 28 to 507 of the family's 1533-position model. The record is from RNAcentral.